Molecule: ribosomal RNA, 907 nt
Filed under: uncultured haloarchaeon
Lineage: Archaea; Methanobacteriati; Methanobacteriota; Halobacteria; Halobacteriales; Halobacteriaceae
Description: bacterial SSU rRNA
Rfam family: Archaeal small subunit ribosomal RNA
Source: RNAcentral
UUCCGGUUGAUCCUGCCGGAGGCCAUUGCUAUCGGAGUCCGAUUUAGCCGUGCUAGUCGCACGGGUUUAGACCCGUGGCGGAAAGCUCAGUAACACGUGGCCAAACUGUCCUAUGGAUCGAGAUAACCUCGGGAAACUGAGGCUAAUCUCGAAUAAGGCUUCCAUUCUGGAAUGAAGGAAGCUGGAAACGCCCCGGCGCCAUAGGAUGUGGCUGCGGCCGAUUAGGUAGACGGUGGGGUAACGGCCCACCGUGCCGAUAAUCGGUACGGGUUGUGAGAGCAAGAGCCCGGAGACGGAUUCUGAGACAAGAAUCCGGGCCCUACGGGGCGCAGCAGGCGCGAAAACUUUACACUGCACGACAGUGCGAUAAGGGGACUCCGAGUGCGAGGGCAUAUAGUCCUCGCUUUUGUACACCGUAAGGUGGUGUACGAAUAAGGGCUGGGCAAGACCGGUGCCAGCCGCCGCGGUAAUACCGGCAGCCCGAGUGAUGGCCGCUAUUAUUGGGCCUAAAGCGUCCGUAGCCGGCCAGACAGGUCCGUCGGGAAAUCCAGUGGCUUAACCACUGGGCGUCCGGCGGAAACCAGCUGGCUUGGGGCCGGAAGACCUGAGGGGUACGUCCGGGGUAGGAGUGAAAUCCUGUAAUCCUGGACGGACCGCCGGUGGCGAAAGCGCCUCAGGAAGACGGACCCGACGGUGAGGGACGAAAGCUAGGGUCACGAACCGGAUUAGAUACCCGGGUAGUCCUAGCUGUAAACGAUGCUCGCUAGGUGUGGCGCUGGCUACGAGCCAGCGCUGUGCCGUAGGGAAGCCGAGAAGCGAGCCGCCUGGGAAGUACGUCCGCCAGGAUGAAACUUAAUGGGAAUGGCGAGGGGAGCACUACAACCCGGAGGAGCCUGCGGUUAAUUGG